GGAUCAAUGGACCGGUCAUGCCCAUUAGGUAUGUACUGAUCUCAUUGGUUCUCACCUUCUAAGGAACCAUAAUGUCAUUCAUUUGAUGUUAUGGGAAAUUAGGACUGUUACCUUGAAAAAAUUAGAGUGUUUAAAGCAGGCUUACGCUUGAAUACAUUAGCAUGGAAUAAUAGAAUAGGA
This 180-nucleotide ribosomal RNA is filed under the name uncultured Glomeromycotina. RNAcentral describes it as "partial small subunit ribosomal RNA". The stretch from base 24 to 180 matches the Rfam family "Eukaryotic small subunit ribosomal RNA", at positions 668 to 827 of the family's 1831-position model. The record is from RNAcentral. Lineage: Eukaryota; Fungi; Glomeromycota.